AUAAUGACAAGUUUUUUUUUUAAGGAAACAAUGUCAAGUUUCAACUAACUCUUGUGCAAAUAAGGCAUCAUUUCUUUUUCUUGUUUUAGCUUGCACAAGGAUCAAACUGAAUCAGAUGCCAUGACCCAAUUUUUGCUUAAUCUAGCACGCCCAACAGAAUAAUAAUCACCAUUCCUCAAAUUUAUGCCCCAGAAUCUCUUUCCAUAUUUGGACGAAGCUCUGCGCGGACGGCCAACGCACCUGCACUAUAGAAGAAGAGAACAAGUCAAACAACAACUACUAACAACUACAAUCUAACCGACCAAAGAAACUUCAAGAAACUAGUCUGAAAUACUAGUUUCUAUUUUGGUUCAUUGCUUUAGUUGUGCCCCGAACCAUUCUGUUUUCCUCAUCAUCUCCCUCUCGUUGUGUAGAAGAAUGAAGGCUUUGGAAAAACUAUGCUCACAUUUUUACAAGGUGGCAGCCAUUAUCUUCUCCAUAAUACUUCCUCAAUCCAUAAGAUUAACAAUCUUGAUUAUACGUGCUUCCUGGAGCUGGUGCAGACGUACAAGCUCCAAGUACAAGUACAUGGCGGCAAUCAACAAGAAAAGCUCCAAGUUUGUUUACACAAAGGAGUUGAGAAGAUUGAGGUCAGAGCCACUUAUUUGCUCCAUCUGCUU
RNAcentral lists this long non-coding RNA (659 nucleotides) under Coffea arabica (coffee). RNAcentral's name for it is "long non-coding RNA (CARA_LNC007030)". The record is from RNAcentral. Lineage: Eukaryota; Viridiplantae; Streptophyta; Magnoliopsida; Gentianales; Rubiaceae.